GAAUAUUGGACAAUGGGGGCAACCCUGAUCCAGCCAUGCCGCGUGAGUGAUGAAGGCCUUAGGGUUGUAAAGCUCUUUCAGCGGGGAAGAUGAUGACGGUACCCGCCGCAGAAGCCCCGCCUAACUCCGUGCCAGCCGCCGCGGAAAUACGGAGGGGGGAAGGGUUGUUCGGAAUUACUGGGCGUAAAGCGCGCGUAGGCGGCGAUUCUAGUCAGGUGUGAAAGCCCUGGGCUCAACCCGGGAACUGCACUUGAUACUGGAUUGCUAGAGUUCGGGAGAGGAGAGUGGAAUUCCCAGUGUAGAGGUGAAAUUCGUAGAUAUUGGGAAGAACACCAGUGGCGAAGGCGGCUCUCUGGACCGAUACUGACGCUGAGGCGCGAAAGCGUGGGGAGCAAACAGG
This 400-nucleotide ribosomal RNA is filed under the name uncultured bacterium. RNAcentral's name for it is "bacterial SSU rRNA". It matches the Rfam family "Bacterial small subunit ribosomal RNA", at positions 359 to 776 of the family's 1533-position model. The record is from RNAcentral.